RNAcentral lists this ribosomal RNA (254 nucleotides) under uncultured bacterium. RNAcentral describes it as "partial 16S ribosomal RNA". It matches the Rfam family "Bacterial small subunit ribosomal RNA", at positions 524 to 776 of the family's 1533-position model. The record is from RNAcentral.
UACGUAGGGUGCGAGCGUUGUCCGGAAUUAUUGGGCGUAAAGAGCUCGUAGGCGGUGUGUCACGUCGGCCGUGAAAACCUGCAGCUUAACUGUGGGCGUGCGGUCGAUACGGGCAUCACUGGAGUUCGGCAGGGGAGACUGGAAUUCCUGGUGUAGCGGUGAAAUGCGCAGAUAUCGCUUGGAACGCCAACGGUGAAAACAGGUUGCUGGGGGUGUGCUGACGCUGAGACACGAAAGCCAGGGGAGCGAACGGG